GUGGGUGUGGUGUAUGGAACACAGCUGCUGUGCUUAUGCGCUCAACCAUUUUGUGUAGCAGACCCGGGUUCGAAUCCCGGCACCCGCA
Non-coding RNA from Mycena leptocephala, 88 nucleotides. The record is from the annotation of a GenBank genome assembly. NCBI's taxonomy places the organism in Eukaryota, Fungi, Basidiomycota, Agaricomycetes, Agaricales, Mycenaceae.